Molecule: long non-coding RNA, 2093 nt
Filed under: Numida meleagris (helmeted guineafowl)
Lineage: Eukaryota; Metazoa; Chordata; Aves; Galliformes; Numididae
Description: lncRNA (ENSNMEG00000014729.1)
Source: RNAcentral
AGCCCCAUGGGCACCCCAAAGUGCUGCUCCCGAUGCUGAGCCCGGCAGGAGCUGCGCUGGGAGCAAAGAAGAAGAAAUCGGAGGAGAAAGGAUUCUUCUGGCUUUGCAUCAUCGCAGUCUGACCACAUCUAUUUUUGCUGUACGCAUGGCAUCAAGCACCCGUCACCGCUAUUCCUACCCCGUCGCACCGCCGCAUGACACGGCCACGAGAGGGGAAGGGGCUUUGCUCUCGUUAGCCUGGCUGCACACCCAGGGAAUCCGCUCGCCGCCCUUCACCCCACGGCCACCGGCUGAGGACAGCUGGCAGCAGGCACGGCACUGCCCUCCAAGGACACUUGUUCCCUCCCGCCAGGCUGGGGUCAACGUGCCUUAUUUUAGGCUCCGGUCACAGCCGCUUUCGUAGAGAUACGGCCUUGUGGUCGCAGAAGGAAAGAGCUCACCAAAACCGAGGCAACAGUGCCUCAUGGUUCCUUGGGGUGUCCAUGGAGCAACCCCCCCCCCCCCCCCCCCCAGGGCAGCCCAUGGCAUCAGGCUGGGGAUGGGCCCCUCUUGCUGCCGGGCAGCCGGCCUGGGGGCUUUACCAGCAGCCACCAGGGACGUGCUGGGCUCCCAGAGUCCCUCGGCUGGAGGUGUGUGUGGCAGCAGUAUCCAAAGCAGCACACUGACUGGGGGCUUCCUUGGGUGUCCUUCCUUCUUUAUUUUUCCCCCUCUUUCAUUUAUUUCUUUUGUUUUCCACCUCUCUUCAUUUCUUUCAUUUUUCUGUUCGUUUUUCCUUUUUUUUUUUUGCCUUUUUAUCAUUCUUUUUUUCCUUUUAUUUUUUUUGCCCUUACUUCCACUUUUCUUCAAUUUCCCUUUUCUUUACUUUUCCUCAUUAUUUACCUUUUCUCCUUUUCCAUCUUUUUGUUUUCUUUUUUCUUUUCAUUUUCAAUUCAUCUUUUCCGCCCCUUAUCCUUUUUUUCUGUUCCCUUACCUUUUCUUUCCCUUUUCAAUCUUUUUUCCUUCCUUCCUUCCCUUUCCUUUUCCUCUUUUCCUUCUCUUUUCCCCUUUUUCUGUUCCUUUUCCUUUUCUCUUUUUCCUUUUCAACUGAGCUUUUCUUUUUUUCCUUUACUUUUCCAUCCUUUUUUUCUUCUUUUACUUUUUCUUCUCUUUCAUUUUUUUCUUCUUUUCCUUCCUUUUCCUUUUUUCUACCCCUUUCCCUUUUUAAUCUCCCUCUUCUUCCCUUCUUUAGUCUUUACAUUUCCCUUUUCCUUCCUCCAUUCCUUCUUCCGUUCCCUCUCCUCAUUUCUUUCACUUUUUUCCCUUUCGUUUUUUCCUUCCCUUUUUUCUGUCAUUUUCCCUUUAUUUUUCCUUUUUCCAUGUAUCUUUUCCUUUUCCCUUUCUUUUCAUUUUUCUUCCUGUUCUUUUUCUUUUUCAUCUUUUUCUUUCCCUUUCCUCUUCUUUUUUCUUCCUCUUUUUUUCCCUUUCCUUUUCUUCUCCUUUCCCAUUUUUCUGUCCCUCCUGCCUUUUUUCCCCUUUUCAGUUUAUCCUUCUCCUUCUUUUCCCCUCCUCCUUCACUUUUUUUCUUUCACCUUUCCCUUCCUCUUACUUUUUUCCUUUUCCCCUCUUUUCCUUCCCUUUUCCUUUUUGUUGUCCCCUUCAUUUUUUUCCCUUUCCAGUUUCUUUUCCUAUUUUCACCCCUUUUCUUUCCUUCCUUUUUUUUCCCUUUCACCUCUUUCUUCCUCUUUUCCUUCACUUUCUUCCCUUCCCUUUCUCCCCACUCCCACCUCCCCGCUUUCCCUCCAUCUCCCCCCGCCCCCGCUCCCCAUCCCGGCGCUCACCCCCUGCUCGCUCCGUCCCCGCGGCGAGGACAGCACGGCCCAUCCCCGCCGGGGGGGCCGCGGCUCCACGUGCGGCGGUGGGGCGAGGGGCGGUGGGGCAGCGCCGAGGGGCGCCGCGCUGCUGGGGAGGCGGCUCGGGCCGGGCUCGGCUCGGCUCGGCGCGGCUCCGCCCGCUGCCCGGCGGCGGGGCGCUGUUGCAGGGCUGCCGCGGGCUCGGCCGGGCGGGUGGCGCAGCGCCGUGCCGUGCCCGACGCUCAUCUCCGGCCGCCGGGGCGG